UGCGUAGGCGGUUUAUUAAGUCAGAUGUGAAAGCCCGAGGCUCAACCUCGGGACUGCAUUUGAAACUGGUAAACUAGAAUACAGGAGAGGUAAGUGGAAUUCCUAGUGUAGCGGUGAAAUGCGUAGAUAUUAGGAGGAACACCAGUGGCGAAGGCGACUUACUGGACUGUUAUUGACGCUGAGGCACGAAAGCGUGGGGAGCAAACAGGAUUAGAUACCCUGGUAGUCC
RNAcentral lists this ribosomal RNA (229 nucleotides) under uncultured bacterium. Its description in RNAcentral is "partial 16S ribosomal RNA". It matches the Rfam family "Bacterial small subunit ribosomal RNA", at positions 568 to 796 of the family's 1533-position model. The record is from RNAcentral.